GAUGAACGCUGGCGGCAUGCCUAAGACAUGCAAGUCGUACGAAGUAGCCCAAAGAAGUGGAGUGCUUGCCCGAAGCGGACUUGGAUUACUACUUAGUGGCGGAAGGGUGAGUAACACGUGGGUAAUCUGCCUCGGAGACUGGGAUAACUACUAGAAAUGGUAGCUAAUACCGGAUGAGAGAUAGAAAGAUACGUUUUUUCUAUAGUAAAAGGAGCCUUUAAAGCUUCACUUUGAGAUGAGCCUGCGGCGUAUUAGCUAGUUGGUGGGGUAAAGGCCUACCAAGGCGACGAUGCGUAGCCGACCUGAGAGGGUGAUCGGCCACACUGGGACUGAGACACGGCCCAGACUCCUACGGGAGACAGCAGUUAGGAAUAUUCGUCAAUGGGGGGAACCCUGAACGAGCAAUGCCGCGUGAACGAAGAAGGUCCUCUGGAUUGUAAAGUUCUGUUGUUAGGGACGAACGACCAGUAUAGGAAAUGAUACUGGAGUGACGGUACCUUUCAAGAAAGCUCCGGCUAACUACGUGCCAGCAGCCGCGGUAAUACGUAGGGAGCGAGCGUUAUCCGGAUUUAUUGGGUGUAAAGGGUGCGUAGGCGGAUUAAUAAGUUGGUGGUCUAAGCCCGAAGCUUAACUUCGGUUCGCCACCAAAACUGUUAACCUUGAGUAUGGUAGAGGCAAGUGGAAUUUCUAGUGUAGCGGUUAAAUGCGUAGAUAUUAGAAGGAACAUCAGUGGCGAAGGCGACUUGCUGGGCCAACACUGACGCUGAGGCACGAAAGCGUGGGGAGCAAAUAGGAUUAGAUACCCUAGUAGUCCACGCCGUAAACGAUGGAUACUAAGUGUCGGGCAACCGGUGCUGAAGUAAACACAUUAAGUAUCCCACCUGAGUAGUACGGUCGCAAGGCUGAAACUCAAAGGAAUUGACGGGCACCCGCACAAGCGGUGGAGCAUGCUGUUUAAUUCGAUGCUACGCGAAGAACCUUACCUGGGCUUGACAUCCCUUUGACCGGACCUAGAAAUAGGACCUUUCUUCUUCGGAAGACAAAGGAGACAGGUGGUGCAUGGUUGUCGUCAGCUCGUGUCGUGAGAUGUUCGGUUAAGUCCGAUAACGAGCGCAACCCUUGUCCUUAAUUGCUAACAGUAAGAUGAGAACCUUAAGGAGACUGCCGGUGAUAAACCGGAGGAAGAUGGGGAUGACGUCAAAUCAUCAUGCCCCUUACGUCCAGGGCUACAGGCGUGCUAUAAUGGCCGGUAUAAAAAGAAGCAAAACUGUGAAGUAGAGCAAAAUCUCGAAAGCCGGUCUCAGUACGGAUUGGAGUCUGCAAACUCGACUCCAUGAAGCCAGAAUCGCUAGUAAUCCCGAAAUCAGAAAUGUCGGGGUAAAUACGUUCCCGGGUGU
Molecule: ribosomal RNA, 1397 nt
Filed under: uncultured bacterium
Lineage: Bacteria
Description: bacterial SSU rRNA
Rfam family: Bacterial small subunit ribosomal RNA
Source: RNAcentral